GAAAAUCCAUGUCCUGCCUUUUUGGCGAGACAAAAAGUGCAAUUAUUGUCUUCUAUGAGAAGGGCAUUUAUGUCUUUUCGCAAAAGAUAGUCCAUGUCCUACCUUCCUUUCUGGUGAGACAAAAAGUGCAGUUAUUGUCUUUUAUGAUUAGAAUGAGAAGGGCAUUUUCGUCAUUUUGCAAAAGAAAAUCCAUGUCCUGCCUUUUUGGCGAGACAAAAAGUGCAAUUAUUGUCUUUUAUGAGAAGGGCAUUUAUGUCUUUUCGCAAAAGAUAGUCCAUGUCCUACCUUCCUUUCUGGUGAGACAAAAAGUGCAGUUAUUGUCUUUUAUGAUUAGAAUGAGAAGGGCAUUUUCGUCAUUUUGCAAAAGAAAAUCCAUGUCCUGCCUUUUUGGCAAGACAAAAAGUGCAAUUAUUGUCUUUUAUGAGAAGGGCAUUUAUGUCUUUUCGCAAAAGAUAGUCCAUGUCCUACCUUCCUUUCUGGUGAGACAAAAAGUGCAAUUAUUGUCUUUUAUGAGAAGGGCAUUUAUGUCUUUUCGCAAAAGAUAGUCCAUGUCCUACCUUCCUUUCUGGUGAGACAAAAAGUGCAAUUAUUGUCUUUUAUGAUUAGAAUGAGAAGGGCAUUUAUGUCUUUUCGCAAAAGAUAGUCCAUGUCCUACCUUCCUUUCUGGUGAGACAAAAAGUGCAAUUAUUGUCUUUUAUGAUUAGAAUGAGAAGGGCAUUUUCGUCUUUUUGCAAAAGAAAAUCCAUGUCCUGCCUUUUUGGCAAGACAAAAAGUGCAAUUAUUGUCUGCUAUGAGAAGG
Molecule: long non-coding RNA, 799 nt
Filed under: Lactuca sativa (garden lettuce)
Lineage: Eukaryota; Viridiplantae; Streptophyta; Magnoliopsida; Asterales; Asteraceae
Description: long non-coding RNA (LSAT_LNC000479)
Source: RNAcentral